Molecule: ribosomal RNA, 253 nt
Filed under: uncultured bacterium
Lineage: Bacteria
Description: partial 16S ribosomal RNA
Rfam family: Bacterial small subunit ribosomal RNA
Source: RNAcentral
GACGAACCGUGCGAACGUUGUUCGGAAUCACUGGGCUUAAAGGGCGCGUAGGCGGGCUAACAAGUCUGGGGUGAAAUGCCGCGGCUCAACCGUGGAACUGCCUCAGAUACUGUCGGCCUCGAGGAAGGUAGGGGCAUGCGGAACUGUAGGUGGAGCGGUGAAAUGCGUUGAUAUCUACAGGAACUCCGGUGGCGAAAGCGGCGUGCUGGACCUUUUCUGACGCUGAGGCGCGAAAGCUAGGGGAGCAAACGGG